AUGUCCCAGCGCUCAGUGAGCAACUCUUGGAUCUGUCUUCCCCAUUCUGGCUUAUCUCACUUCACAUGACUCCUACAAGUUCCAGCCAAGAUGAGACAAGCACCCAGAGGAUACAGUUUCUUCCCACUCCUCGCCCAAGUUUCACUUCUGACCCCAUCUGCUUGGAGGAGCCUGGAGGGAGAUGGCAGGGAGGGAUGCUGGCACUCAGUCCUCACCGGUCAGUCCUCACACUGGUCCCGGUUGAACUGUGGGCCAAAGGGCUGAUAAAGAGGACCAUCUCCACUCUCUCAUCUGAAGGUCAGUUUACAUGUAUGAACAGGGACCUGUGACACUGUCCUUGUGGCCGUCAGAUGCGGCUCGGUGGCCUGUUCUGACCUGGGGUUUCUUGUGUGCUUCUGCGACUGUUGUCCUGGGCUGAAGUAUCUAUUUGCAAGAGGCUGCCUUUCUACCUGCAGGUGUACCACCGCAUGGUCCCCCUGCCUGUGAAUUUUGGAAAAGAGAGAAUUCCUCUAUGGGAGAGCAAUUAGAUGCCAACUUUUGAAAGAAGACAUGUGAAAGGCUGACAAGUCUAGGUGGAGCUGAGAGGCAGAGGGCAGUACUCUGCUCACCUCACCUUCAUCCUUUCCACGGCCGACAGCCUGGGAACCACAGGAGCUGGGGAGACGCCAGCCACCUGAGCUUUGAGGGCCAGGCAGAGACUGUGAGACACGGGACUCCACAGACCGGAACCUGCCCUGCUGCUAACUCACCUCCCCUCACCCUGCUUGUCUGGAUGCCCAGCACUGUCUGUGGCUCUCCACAGGCGACAUUCACCUGAGCACCUCACUCAGUACACUUUAGUUUUUCAAAAGCCACAAUGUAAACAGCUAAAAAGGACUGUGAGAAAGGGGCUGUGGGAAAGGGUAGAUUUAGGUGGCCAGGGAGACAGCAAGAGACUUUCAUGCCUUGGGCUCUGAGGCUCCGGAAUCAAUCCUAGGCACCACCAUAAAACAGAGCUGAGCAGUCCUUGGUGG
This is a long non-coding RNA of Erinaceus europaeus (western European hedgehog), 1013 nucleotides long. RefSeq lists it as uncharacterized. The record is from RefSeq and is a predicted model, not a curated record. Lineage: Eukaryota; Metazoa; Chordata; Mammalia; Eulipotyphla; Erinaceidae. The transcript has 3 exons.